This is a long non-coding RNA of Homo sapiens (human), 1624 nucleotides long. Ensembl annotates it as tektin 4 pseudogene 2. Its record names the gene TEKT4P2. The record is from Ensembl. Lineage: Eukaryota; Metazoa; Chordata; Mammalia; Primates; Hominidae.
GCCCACUUCGCCAUUUUCCUCCGGAAGUGCGGAUCCCAGCGGCGGUCGUGUAGCUGAGCAGGCCUGGGGCUUGGUUCUAUGUCCCUGUAGCUAUGUUUCCAGUGUCCUCUGGGUGUUUCCAAGAGCAACAAGAAACGAAUAAAUCUCUGCCCCGCAGCGCCUCCACCCCAGAGACCCGGACCAAGUUCACACAGGACAAUCUGUGCCACGCCCAGCGCGAGCGCCUGGACUCGGCCAACCUGUGGGUGCUGGUGGACUGCAUCCUUCGCGACACCUCCGAGGACCUGGGACUCCAGUGUGACGCCGUGAACCUGGCCUUCGGGCGCCGCUGUGAGGAACUGGAGGACGCGCGGCACAAGCUGCAGCACCACCUGCACAAGAUGCUGCGGGAAAUCACAGAUCAGGAACACAACGUGGUGGCACUGAAGGAGGCCAUCAAGGACAAGGAGGAACCUCUGCACAUAGCCCAGACCCGGCUGUAGUUGCUCUCACACCGGCCCAACAUGCAGCUGUGCCGCGAUGCAGCCCAGUUCAGGUACUGCCUGGGCCUCUGAGGCAGUCCCAGGUGCCCCCAUCCACCUCCUCGCUGCGACCCUCUCCAAUAAACACUCCAAUCUCCACACACACAUCCCCCACAGGUGCUGAGAGGGGAGGGAGACUCUGCGGCCACACACAACAUGCAAGCACGCCUUAAACACACAGAUAUAGACAUGACACUGGGCAGGUCAUGGGUCGGGGGCCUCCCCGUGCCAGGGACCUGUGCCCACGUGGUCUCACCCCACCCUGUGCUACCUCAUCUUCCCGGGAGGAAGCUCCUUCAGACAAGGUGAGCUCCUGGAGGCCACGGGGCCAGAGAGGCCAGAGAGGGCCAUUCCCUGCUGCCCUGAGGGUGCUGUCCCCACCUCUGGUGGAAAGUAUGACCUACGCCUGGGCUACAGGCAUAGAUGGGCCGUCCUUUUGUUUCCCUUGUUAACGGAUGCCUGGUGGCCCCUUCUGAGCCUAAGUACCUUUCUUCCUUCCCUGCCCCUCAGUUCCUUCAAGGAACUGGGUGCCUCCUUCCGUCAAAUAUCAGGAAUGGAAAGAACUGAGCCUGGUCGGCUGAGGCCAGUCCUGUCCUGUCAGGGUCGAGAUUGCACGCGGGUCACUCAUUCCCACUCAGGCCCGCGCUCCCUGGGAGGACCCUCGUAAUUUAUGCUCUGCCCUAGAGCCGCUUUCCUGGUAGGAUCCUUUCAUGGCGUCUUCCCAGGACCUCCUGCCAGCUCCCAUUGGGAGUUUUGGGUCCCCUCCACCCCAGUAGGUGCAUACUUCUGCCCUCCCCAGCCCCAGCUCACACCCCCCAACACCCCCAAGCUGGUGAGUGAGGUGGAGGAGCUGUACAAGUCCAUCACAGCGCUGCGGGAGAAGCUUCUACAAGCGGAGCAGUCCCUGCGCAACCUCAAGGACAUCCACAUGAGCCUGGAGAAGGACGUCACUGCCAUGACCAACAGUCUCUUCAUCGACCGCCAGAAGUGCAUGGCCCAUCGUACUUGCUACCCCACCAUUCUGCAGCUGGCUGGCUACCAGUGAGCAGCGGCACGGUGCUUCCCCCCAAUCCCCCAAAUAAACAGUGCGUUAGCUUUCUGCA